Molecule: ribosomal RNA, 372 nt
Filed under: uncultured bacterium
Lineage: Bacteria
Description: bacterial SSU rRNA
Rfam family: Bacterial small subunit ribosomal RNA
Source: RNAcentral
UACGGAGGGUGCAAGCGUUAUCCGGAUUUAUUGGGUUUAAAGGGUCCGUAGGCGGACUUAUAAGUCAGUGGUGAAAUCCUGUCGCUUAACGAUAGAACUGCCAUUGAUACUGUAAGUCUUGAGUAUAUUUGAGGUAGCUGGAAUAAGUAGUGUAGCGGUGAAAUGCAUAGAUAUUACUUAGAACACCAAUUGCGAAGGCAGGUUACCAAGAUAUAACUGACGCUGAGGGACGAAAGCGUGGGUAGCGAACAGGAUUAGAUACCCUGGUAGUCCACGCUGUAAACGAUGCUAACUCGUUUUUGGUAUUUCGGUAUCAGAGACCAAGCGAAAGUGAUAAGUUAGCCACCUGGGGAGUACGCUCGCAAGAGUGAA